Molecule: non-coding RNA, 386 nt
Organism: Pelobates cultripes (western spadefoot toad)
Lineage: Eukaryota; Metazoa; Chordata; Amphibia; Anura; Pelobatidae
Source: the annotation of a GenBank genome assembly
CCAGUUUCCACUGCCAUCGUGUCUUCGAAAGUAGGAUUGGCUAUAGCUACCAUAUCAUGUAAAGUCUUGAUAUGUGGUUUCAGUGGGUUAACAGUCAUGUGAGUAGUUCCUACCCAGUCAGGUGAGGUAAGCAUAUCUUGCAGAUAGAAUGUCCCCAACUUGUUGUAUGAGCCACCUCCCCUCCAGUACAUGCCCAUUACAUAUUCCCCUGCAUCUUUUGGACUAGGAUGCUCUAUGUUCAGUGUGAGUUUGAUGGGGGUUUACCCAAUAGGUUUACUUAAGGUCAUUCUGGAGAGUAGGGGUUUCCUGUCUUUGUCAAUUCUGUCUGGGGCACUCUGGGGCUUAUAGCCCCAUGGUCUACCCGUGUUCCACCCAGCCGCCUUCCA